UAUGGUAUUGGCUUACCGUGGCAGUGACGGUUAACGGGGGAUUAGGGUUCGAUUCCGGAGAGGGAGCCUGAGAAACGGCUACCACAUCUAAGGAAGGCAGCAGGCGCGCAAAUUACCCAAUUCUAACAGUUUGAGAGAGGUAGUAACAAGAAAUAACAAUACAAGGCAGUUAAAAUGCUUUGUAAUUGGAAUGAUAGAAAU
RNAcentral lists this ribosomal RNA (201 nucleotides) under Hepatozoon canis. RNAcentral's name for it is "partial 18S ribosomal RNA". It matches the Rfam family "Eukaryotic small subunit ribosomal RNA", at positions 329 to 524 of the family's 1831-position model. Lineage: Eukaryota; Apicomplexa; Hepatozoidae. The record is from RNAcentral.